RNAcentral lists this long non-coding RNA (1207 nucleotides) under Mus musculus (house mouse). RNAcentral describes it as "predicted gene 45609". Lineage: Eukaryota; Metazoa; Chordata; Mammalia; Rodentia; Muridae. The record is from RNAcentral.
UCCCACUCCUGGCUCUCGGCGGCGUGUGGACUCCAAUCCCCGGGCACCUGCGCGGCCAGGCCAGCGAUUCUAGGGGUCCCGGGGCGCCCCGAAGCCGCCACCUAAACAAGACGCAGGAAUAAUACCGGGAGAGUUGCUAACGUGGAAGAGAGAAGCUCACCAAGUCCUCAACACUCGAAAGAACUAGAAGCAGCUAAGGAAGACAGAGAGUAGGAGAAACACCCUUUCCAGGAGAGAAAGCACCAACUGCUGAUCCAGUAUCAGACAGUCAGCCCUGGAAAUAUAUACGCACAAGUAACAUUAUAUGGGCCUGGACGGCUGUGAUCUCUUCGCGAUUGGCUCUUUUAUCUUUUCACAAUGGAAAGGGAACAAGGAGAAAACUCUGAGGGGGUGGGGCAUCUCAUUGGUGCCAGAUGGGAGUGGAAAGCCCUUUGCUAUGUUGCCUGUGUUUGAAGAAAGACUCUGACACCGACUGGCUGUGUGAUCCUGGACAGACUGCAUCACCUCAUGGACAUUUUUUCAUCUGUGAGGGGAAGAUUUCCUGGCAGUGGUCUGAGAAAUGGUGGCAAGGACUGAAGGAGUUACAUGCAUGGAGAGUACUGUACCACCAGUUGGGCAGAGAUGGAAUUGCACUUCUUUUUGCUCUGUCUUUUCAUCAUCUUAGAAGUGGGUGGAGCCUCCUCUUCAUAAUUCCUACAGGGUUUAAUACUGAGGAGAAACUUUGUAAAGUAAAGGAUUUUUAGGGUUGGGGCGGUGGCACAGUAGGUAAAGCGCUCGCUGUGUCAGCCUGAGGACCCGGGCUGGUACUUACAACAAAGCAUGGUAUGAUCAUCAAUAAUGCCAGCACAGUUGCAUAACGACGGGCACAUCCCCGGGGAAUCAGCUGCCAGCCAAUCUCAUGCUAGGUUCAGUGAGCAAUUUCUCCCCAAAAAUAAGCUGGAGAAGGACAGAGGAUGACGCUGAACUUUGACCUCUGGCCUCCACACACAUGCAUGAGUGAGUGCACCCACAUCAACACACACACACACAUGUGAAAAACAAAUCUUUUAAAAUAAUAAUAUGGGUCCCUAAGUACUGGAAUUGAGAACAGUGCCUACAUCCCAACGUUUGUAAGAUGUCAGUGGACUGCAGAAUAAGUGUGGGGAUAGUCCUCAUGGUAAUUAUUUGAAGUUUCUUUCGGGCGGUAGUAAAUGUCAAAUUCUUUCCA